AAAAACUAACUCAGACAACUCAAUAAAAAACGUAAAAAAAGAAAAAGAAAAGUAACUCAACCACCCAAGCAGGCGUUUCCUUAUCCCUGACUAUCUGAAAAAAAACUAAGUCCCUUCAGAUUCCUUUUUUGUUUCUUGGAAAAUAUCGAUCCAUCUGAAAGAAGAAAAAUAAUCUUCAAAUUGGCCCAAUAUUUGCUAUCUGGCCUUUGAUCCAAUCACAACACUGAUGCCAAAAUUGUGAAACAACAUGUGAGUCUCUUCUGUUUUCUAUUUUGCUUGCCCAAAGUGAGUAUAGUCGUCCAUCUCCAUUUCUAAUCAGUUAAAUUUCGAUCUGCAGGAAAAACCUAACCUAGCUAUCAAAAUCUUCGUCAACUGCCUCUUUUGGAAAAUGAAAAACCUUACCGAUCAAAUAAGAUUCUGCAUUUCUCUUUAACCCUUCUACAACCAGUAAAUGUGCUACACCAUUCACUUGUCUCUGCGCAUGUUUAAAGACAUACGCUUGGUAUCUUUCACAAAUAGCCUUGGCGUUUAAGAUGUGAGAACCUAUUACUCACAUUUAGAUUCCCUUUGUUUGUAGCCUCUGAAUCAUCUAUAAGGCGUCCCCUUCUAUCUCCACCAUAGUAAAUCCCACAUGCAACCCCAUCUCAACUGUUAUAAACAUGCCAAUGCCUUAGCCGCAAAUGGUAAAGUUAUGUUAUCAUGCAGUAAGUUUUUUAAAAAUAGCACUCUGCCAGUUGUAUCUUUGAUGAUAAUUUUAGAGCGUGAUUUAUUAUUUUGCUUACAAAAUGUAGCAUCAGAAUUUUUUUUAACAAAUUGGUCCUUUGGCACCUUCAAUCGUGCUUACAUACAUUGUGUUACUGUUAUUUUUCAUUGAUUCCAUCCAUUUCUCCCAAAUAAUUCCUGAUAAAAUUUGUCGCCUCAAAGGUCGUUCUAUGUUUGCAUUCAUGCAGUAGUUGGUUUUUCUCAACCCAUAUAGGCCUCAAAGUACAACAAAAGAUCUCACAAAGGUAUUUUGAAUUAUUUUCGAAAAGCUGAUUCACCCAAUCUUUAAUGUGCAUAUUUGAUAACAUUGUUGGCCACCUAAUGCCCAGUUGCUAGCAGAUCUCAUUUGAUUUUAGACAAUCCCGAAACACAUGUUCCACUAUUUUGAUUCCAUUCACAUAUCUAGGGCAUUCUUGUAUUCCCAUUAAUCUUUUGUAAUUUAGAUUAGCAAAAGUAGGUAAAUAAUUCGUUGUAAUUCUUUAUAUUGUAAUCUUUAACUUGGAGGGCAGAUCCGAUAGCCAUAACUUGGCCCCAUUUGUAGUUACCACAUUAUUUUCUUGUAACAACAAUUUGUACACACUACGCACUGAAUACUCCAUCGACGUCUAACCACUUCAAGCCAGGAAAUUCUCAUGUAGAAACUAUGUCAAAUGAAUACUCAAAAUUUUUCGGGCCUUCGCCUCGCCAAAGGUAUAUCGAAUAAUUCAUUCUCUCCAUUUCCUCGUGGUUGGAUCAAUCAAAUCAGCCACAGUUUAUAUACUUUGAUUGGUAAUAGGUUGUUGAAUUUUGUAAUUUGAAUUCCUAGGAAUCCAAACAUCAUCUCUAACCAAAAUUGUUGGCCUUUGAUGGUCACUAAACUAAUUAUAAAUACAACUAAGGCAAGUGCACCUAUCGAACAAUAGUAUAGUUAUGGUGAGUAGGGAAUAUCUUAUUCACGAGGACUAAAAGUACUAAUAAUUACCAUUUUUUCUAUUAUUUAGCCGAAAAAUUGGACUGGUUGCUUUUAAUCUAAAUUUACUAAUCUAAUUUAUCUAAUAAUGCAACAGAGAAUGAAAUAGGAAAAUAAUCAAAGAUAACCAAUGAGAUAGACAAUACCCAGGAAAGAAUCCACCUAGACUUCACCUAUUAUUAUGAAUCUGAAUUAAACGAUUUAUUCACUUGUGUCUUGAUCCGUAGAAAUCUCUAAAUUAUGUUAAUAUCUCUUUCGAAAGUAAGAAUAACUGACUCUAGGUUGAUUAAUUGAAAUCUCUUUCUAAUUAAAACCUCUAUUGUCGCAUUAACUCAAUCUAUGCAUUCCCCUAUUAGAUUUUACUCUAAUCUAGUAGAUUUAUGUCGUCCUAUUUCUAGGAUUGCAUGCAACUCUACUCAAUUAUGCUAGAUCUACUCUUAAACAGGGACUUUUGCUCCAUUGAAAUAAGCAUAUUAAACAUGAAUUAAUAUCUAAAAAUAUUAAAACACGAAAUAAGCAUACAUAAUUGAGAACAAGAAUCGAGUAUUUAUCGCAUAAAAACAGAAAUUAAAUAAUAAAAUUCAUCAUAAGUUUCAUCCUCCCUAGGUAUCUAGGGAAUUUAGUUCAUAAUCCUGAAUGAAAAAAUCUCAAAGUCAGAAUAACCACAAGACAUAAAGAAACUCAAUAAAACUUCGAAAGAAAUUAAAUGGAGAUCUUCGAUCUUGAGGGAGAUCUGCUUCCGAGUUGAUUUCGAUGGCGUUCUUCGAGUCUUUUCUUCGAUCUUCUCUGAGUGCCUCCUUAGAUUUUCUCCUAAUUGGUAUUUAUAGACUUUAGAAUGCUCAAAAAGCCUAAAAAUUGGGUUUUUUCGCUUAUUUGGGAAGCAAGGUGCAAUAUCGACACGAGCGUAUGGCUAGCCUGUGUGAAAAUGCCCAGGCCAUGUGGAUCUUGAAAAUAGCUCUAUUUGUUUGAUUUUGGCUCAUUUUUCGCUCAUUUCAUUCUCAAAGGCUCUCCUAAGUAUAGAAAGAUGAAUUUAAAGAAUUUGAAGCAUCAAAUUCAUUAAUUUACAUAAUUAAUCAUCCAAUAACACAUUAAGAAUUUGAUUAAAAUAUGUUACUUUUAUAGCUUAUCACCCCUGUACCAAUUCUCCAACACAUUCCAAACGCAAAAAGGCCCUUUAUGGCUUACACACUUUUCCAAGUAUAAUAAGGUAGAUUCCCUAAACUUGACUCUAGAGAGUUCAUAUUCAGAAAAUAUUUUGCCUUUAGUGAUCUCGCUAACAAAGAAUUCAGAUAAUUAAUCAUCCCAACCUUGUUUAGCAAGCAAAGCCAAAUUAAACUUCGCUAGGCAAUGGAAUCCCAUACCUUCAUACUUUUUUAAUUCAUAUAACUAUUUCCAAUUGCACCAAUGAAUUCCACAUUUGUUAUUACUUUUGUACCACUAAAAAUUACCAAUAAUAUUUUCUAACUCCACACAUAAAGAAUUUGGGAAUAGAAAGCAUAAAAUGGAAUACAUAGGAAUGACUUGAAUAGAAUACGUAGGAAUAACUUGAACAUAUUUAAUGAAAAUAUCCUUACCUCCUUGUGAGCGAUGCUGGAUACUUUUCAUUCUAUCUUUCAAUACUUGAAAAGCUUGUUGUUUUUCACCACUCACUAUAUUUGGCAACCUCAAAUAUUUUUCUAGUUCCAUGGACAUCCUAACAUUAAGGAUUUGUAAAAACCAGUUAUUUAUCCUAAUACUAAACAUUAGUGUUGAAGAAAGUCGUAGAUUUGUCAAAAUUAAUACACUGCCCCUAGUUUUCUUCAUACUCCUUUAGGAUGCCUUUUAUAAUACUAGCUCCUAUGCUAGUCACUUCCCCAAAUAAAAUAUAAUCAUCUGCAAACAUUAAGUGCGUUAUUUGUAGCCUCUUUUGACUAAUUCUUGCCCCUUUCACCAAUCCCUCAUGUUUAACAUGUCUCAUCAGUCUGAAAGACCCUUACUGCAAAAUAAAAAUAAGUUCGGACUCAAUGAUCUCCUUGUCUCAACCCCCUUUCGGGCUUAAAAUUUUCACUUAUUUCAUCAUUAAUAAUGAUAGAGUACGAUACUGAAUUAACACAUUGCAUUAUAAACUCCACCCAAGGUCUUGCUAAACCUAUUUUCAACAUCAUUUUCUCAAUAAAAGGUCAUUCCACUCGAUUGUAAGUCUUGCUCAUGUCUAAUUUCAAUGCCAAGCAACCAUUUCUCCCCAUCCAUUUUUUUUAAAAGUAUGUAACAAUUCAUAAGCUAGGAGCAUAUUAUCUAUAAUGAGUCUACCAUGCAAUAAAACACUUUUUGCUUCAUCGAUGCAAGACUCAAGAAUCUUUUGUAAUAUAUUUGCUGUUAUCUUUGCAAUAAUCUUAUACAGCACUAUACGAAAACUAAUUGGUCUGAAUUUUUCAAACUUGUGGGAUUGUCCACUUUUGGAAUUAAGGCAAUAUUCUUCUUAUUUAGUGUUUCCAACAUUUUACCCUCAUUCAGAAUGUCUAGACAAAAAGCACAAAUAUUUCCCCCAACUAUAUGCCAAUACCUUUGAAAAAAAUAAAGCGGGAAAGUCAUCUUCAACCAAAGCUUUUGUACGACCUAUUGUUUUCAAAACUUCACAUAUUUCCUCACCUUUGUAUUAGGCCAUCAAACCCCUUUUCAUACUAUCGAUAACAUAUACUUUGACUCCAAACAAUAAAUAAUCUAUAUUAUAAGUACCUUUAGUCGAGAAGAGAUCAAGAAGUGAUUUCACGCCACACUCUCUAUUUCAAAACGUAUUGUAAGUAGUUGACCCUCUUCAUUUUACAACCCAUUUAUCUUAUUUUUGCAAUGCCUAUAUGAAGUAAAAUUAUGGGAAAAUGAGGUGUUUCGAUCUCCUAUUUUCUACCAAUUUGCCCUAACUCUUUAUUUCCAAUAUCUCUUAUCUUUCUCUACCACCAGACUAAAAUGCAAUUUCACAUUGAUCAUUUCGGCUAACAUCUCAUCAGUUCUCUCUUGAUUAUCCAACUCCUACAGCCUUUUACCAAGUUUCUUAGUCAAUUCACCUCUUUUCGAUUUCACCCUUUCAGCCUUAUUCUUUAAUCUCGUACUUACCAUCCUUAAUUUGUCAGUUAAAUCUCCUAAACUAUUCUCCCAUAAGUUCUUCAUUUUGAGUUUGUAGGAAUAUUCCAUACUCCACCAUACCUCAAACCCAAACUAAUUUUUCCUCCCCUAAACUCCCUUGAUUAGUUUGAAUAAGUAGCAGACAGUAAUCAACAAAAGAAUGAGACAAGUGUUUUAGAGAAAAUUGGGAAACAAUUGCACCCAUUCUACCAUCGCAAUACCUCGAUCAAGUCAUUCUCUAAUAUUAGCCUCUAGUAGAUUUCCUUUUCAUGUGAAUCAAGAACGCAAAAAACCAAUAUCUUCUAAACAACAUUCUUCCAAAACUUUUCUAAAUUCUUCGAUUCGGCCUUCCUCCCUCGAAAUACCCCCACUUACAAGCCAAGGUAAAUUCUAGGAUCUUUCAAGAUUUUUUUAAUAAAUUUCAAGACUCUACUCUAUUUUUACUAUCAGGGGCUCCAUAAAAUCCCUUCCAUAUCUAAACUGGACUCCCUAACUCUCUUAAGUCUCGAAAUUAAUAUGGUUUUUUGAGAAACUAUAAAGAGUAAUUGAACAACCAACUUUCCAUCGUAAACUUAAACCCCCCAUGUUCCUUCUUCUGACAUAUUAAUUCUACACUAAUAACCGCAUGUCAUCCUUACAUUUUCCAUUAUUGUUGGUACUGAGUAUUGUCUCCAUAAAAAAGACAAGUUGGGGAUGAUAAGUCUUUAGCAUGUGUUGUAAUCGAUGAACUUUCUGCGGAUUCCCCAAAUCGCGAACGUUCCAAUUGAUCAUUUUCAUGGCGUCUGGCAGGCUUGCCUACAACAAUAUUUUCCACAUGAUUCAGUGAACCUGAAACUUAGGAAUUCAUGUUUUCAAGCCUAGGCCUCUUCUUUCUUUCCACUAUCUCUAAUGGGUUUUCUUCCUCAUGUUCCAUUGAUGCUAAGCCCAACCCAUUAGCCACUCAUUCGCUGUAAAACUCUUGUUGACAAAAUAGACCCUUCAAAUUAAAUCCUAAAAUAAGAUUUAUCUUUUGCCAAUUAUCUUUAUUCUUAUCCACCCCAAUAUUGCUCUUCAAAUUUCACCUUCCCAUAUUUUCCCCACCAAAUCCAUCAUCUCUUUCCUUUCGGAGUCAAAUACUACCGCCAACAGAUACCCUUUUCGACAGCGCACACAAAGAGAGAUCCCACCCCAGUUGCACCUCUUUUCCAUUAUGGUUGAGCCAAAUAGGACAAAAGCUAUCACCAUGGCCUAACACACCAUAAAUGAAACAAAAUAACGUUAAUUUCUCAUAUUUAAAAGUAGCAUACAUAUGCCUUGACGGUGAUAAAUUAAUUUAUUCUUCCUCUUUAGCAGAUUUUAGACAUCUAAUUACAUUCGAAUUAUAAAAAAAAUUCUCUAUUCCCCCACUCCCCUGCUACGUAUCAUAUUCAAUAAAUUUGCCAACAAAGUUCCCAAAUUGCCUUGCCACCACUUCUGAAAAUGAACCCGAUGGCAAAUCAUGCACUUGGACCCAGAAAUUCGCAAACACUAAAGGGAUCUGCAUCGGGUCCUCAUCUUCUUUCAACUAAUGAAUGAUUAACAAAUGAUUAUUAAAAGUCUAUGGGGCUCCAUUUUCCACUUGCGCAAUAUCCACCUCUUAGAAAAACUUGAAAAGAUAGCAUUUUUCCUCCGGAUAUGAAAUUUGUACCCCUCUAAGAGGAUGCUAAAAUUUGGCCAUUGUAUUCCUCAUGGUUAGGAAAUGUACCACACUGUCAGUCAAACAACAACCUACAAGACACAGAUCAUAGGUCGAUUUUUUAGUUUCUUCCUCACCAGCAACACUCCACCCAUCUUCUUCUCCAUCAACAAUACUCAAGUUCUUCAUACCCCCUGUCCAUUCGAUUUGAUCGAUAUCCAACUAGUAUACUCGACUCAAAGAAAACUAGAGAAACCCUCACAGCGAAACGCUAAAAAUGUAAUGACCCAAAUUUUACUGUUAUCAGAAAAGUGCAUUUUUGGGUCUCUGUUUCUAAAAAAUGGAAUAAAUAUUUACGAAGUUAAAUGAGUGGUUAAUUAAAUUUUAAUGAAGUGAAUUAGUUUAAAUUAAGGAUAAUUAGAUAAAAGGAUAAAAUUGAAUAUAGUGUAAAAGUUUAAUUAUAGAAUAAAGAAAAUUGAAGGGACUAAAUAAGUAAAUAAGCCAAAAUGAAUGCCAAGUGUGUGAUAAAAAUAAAAUACAUGUGUAAUAAAUAUUGUACAUAUAUUUGUAAUACAUGUAUGUAUUUACCUAUUAUUUAAGUAAAUACUAUUAUUGUAUAUUAAUUAAAUAAAGAAAAUAAAUAAAAUAAGGACAAGUGUGUGGUGAUGAUGAUAGAAAAAUGUAAAUUAUAUAUGUGUACAAAUGUAAAAUAAGUAUUUGUUAUUAAAUAGAUAUUUAUUAUAGAUAUUUAUUAUUGUUAUUAUUAUAUUAUAUUAUAUAUAUAUAUAAAGUAAAUAAAAGAAAGAAAAAGAAGGAAACAAAGAAAAAGAAACAGAAUAUGAGACUAAACAGGGGAAAGAAAGGAAAGAAAGAAAAAUAAAAGGAAAAUUGGGAUUUUGAAGCUUUAGCCUUUAAUAGGCAAGUCAAUCAAGCCCUUUUUACUUAAUUUUGAUGUUUUAGAAGCUUUGGAAUAAAGUUUUGAUGAAAUUAAGUUGAUAUUUUGAAAGUUAUUAGAUUUCUAGAUAUUGUUCAUGUUGAAUAAAUUGAAGAAUUAGGGGUUAAAUUGAUAGAAUUUCAAGUUAGAAGUUAAAUGUGAAGAAUAAAAGUUAGUCCCGGUUUAGGGACUAAAUUAGAAUUUAGACGAAAGUUGAAUAAAAAUUGAAAUAUUCAAUAUGAAAAUUGAAUGGUAAUGUAUUGAUAAUAUUUAGUUGAUUUUCGUAGCUAGCGUUGUGCCAGAAAAUCUCGGCUAGACAAGGAAAAGACAAAGUCGACGAUGGAUAGCUCGAAAAUUACAGUUUGUAUUUCUAUAAUCCGAACUUAAUACUUAAAUGUUGAAUUUAUUACUUGAUAAGUAUAGUAAGUAUUUAAAGGUAAAUAUUUGGAUAGGAAUAAAUAUUGAUUGGAAUUAAAGAGUGAAUUUUAUUAUUAAUUGUUAUAUUUUGAAUGAAUGUUAUGGUAAAUAAUUAAAAUGUGAAUUAUUGGUAUUGUGUUUAUUAUUGAAAUGAAUUAACUUGAAAAUGUGGUGAAAUAAUUAUGAAUAUGUGUUUAUUGUGGAAUUUGAUUAUAUGUUAAUGAAAAGUGAAUUGAAUUAUAUUGAAUUGUAUUGAUUUAUUAAAUUAUGUGAUUAAUUGAAAUAUAUACAUAUUGAUUGAAAACCGAAAAUUGGUUAAAUACCCUAUUAACAGUAUCGGGCUAUGUUUGAUAUAGUUGGCAUGCCAUAGGAUUGGAAGUGUU
This 8198-nucleotide long non-coding RNA is filed under the name Gossypium barbadense (sea-island cotton). Its description in RNAcentral is "long non-coding RNA (GBAR_LNC007531)". Lineage: Eukaryota; Viridiplantae; Streptophyta; Magnoliopsida; Malvales; Malvaceae. The record is from RNAcentral.